Molecule: long non-coding RNA, 100 nt
Organism: Gopherus flavomarginatus (Mexican gopher tortoise)
Lineage: Eukaryota; Metazoa; Chordata; Testudines; Testudinidae
Exons: 3
Source: RefSeq, a predicted model, not a curated record
ACAAAUAUCUAUGUCUGAGCUGGAGAGGUCCCUGGACGGCUUAGGGUUGUGGUGAGCACAGAUACAUACGUCCAGGCUGUAGUGGUCCCUGGGGGUUUAG